UGACAAGCAUCCCAAGCUUAAGGUUUUCACAUUGUUGGUCAAAUAGUCCAAUACCCUCAAUUCAUCGAGUGACUUGUAGAUGUUAUGGUGCUGCAUAUUGUAAUUCUUACCAUCCAGCUUUAACCCUUUAAGGAGAUUGAGAAUCACACUCAUGAAAGUAAAGGAGAUCACAGUAAAUUACGUUUACUUGCAUGUGAUUAUGCAUUCACACCAAUGUAAUUGCAUCUCUCACUCACUUGAGACUUCAAGGGUCAAGAUGGUCCUACUUCCAAAACAACUUAAAAGUUAAAAUUUGUGCAACAGUAUCGGGCUAGUGUAAAUCAACAGUGCUGGGCUAGUGUAAAUAAAUAGCAUCAAGUCAAGGUUAAGAAGUUUGACUUCUAAUCAAGCCUGUUUCGUAUCCUCGAUGGAAAACCGCAUGGGUGCAAUCUAUUGAUAAUCUAUUGUGGGAAAGGUUUCUAUACUUCUCUUACAGCAUAGAAGGUCUAUACUUUUCCUACUAUCUAGCCGUUCAAGUUUGUUAAAGUGAG
Molecule: long non-coding RNA, 530 nt
Filed under: Amborella trichopoda
Lineage: Eukaryota; Viridiplantae; Streptophyta; Magnoliopsida; Amborellales; Amborellaceae
Description: long non-coding RNA (ATRI_LNC003327)
Source: RNAcentral